CUCUCUCUCUCUCUCUCUCUCUCAAUCAGCUUCUCUUUCUCUCUUUCUCUCAUCUCACAAAUUUUCUCUCAACUUUCUCAAUUUCCACACCCAAACUGUCAUCUCAAAUAAGAACUUACAAAACCCACCCUAAUAACUAUUCUAGUUGGCAACAAGAACAAGGUGCCACCAUUGCUGACCAACAAGGGAGGAGGAAGAAGGGAGGACCACCGUCGAUGAAGGGAAGGAGGAAGACAGCAACGCGCCAAGGGAAGAAGAAAAUGAAAGGAAAAUAAAAGAAAGGAGGAAAGGAAAAGGAAAAGUGAAAGAAAAAGAAGGAAAAGGAAGGGAAAAAGAAAGGAAAAAAAGUAAAGGAAGGGGG
Molecule: unclassified non-coding RNA, 361 nt
Filed under: Hevea brasiliensis (rubber tree)
Lineage: Eukaryota; Viridiplantae; Streptophyta; Magnoliopsida; Malpighiales; Euphorbiaceae
Source: RNAcentral